This 301-nucleotide ribosomal RNA is filed under the name uncultured bacterium. Its description in RNAcentral is "partial 16S ribosomal RNA". It matches the Rfam family "Bacterial small subunit ribosomal RNA", at positions 509 to 808 of the family's 1533-position model. The record is from RNAcentral.
CAGUCGCCGCGGUAAUACGGAGGGGGCUAGCGUUGUUCGGAAUUACUGGGCGUAAAGCGCACGUAGGCGGCUUGGUAAGUUAGAGGUGAAAGCCUGGAGCUCAACUCCAGAAUUGCCUUUAAGACUGCCGAGCUAGCAGGUGAGAGAGGUAAGUGGAAUUCCGAGUGUAGAGGUGAAAUUCGUAGAUAUUCGGAAGAACACCAGUGGCGAAGGCGACACCUGGACUAAUACUGACACUGAGGUGCGAAAGCGUGGGGAGCAAACAGGAUUAGAUACCCCCGUAGUCCCUGUCUCUUAUACA